UAACAUUAAGUAGUGUACAUGGUGGUCAUUCAGAUGAUUUUAACAUUUCAAACAUACAAUCAUUUCUUUAAGUAGCAGUGCAGAUGAGAGAAGAACUGAGAUCUUCAUUCCCUCCACUUUUUGGAAGCAAUUUCCCUGUUAAAGAAUAAUCUUUAUUGUAUAUCACAAGAAAGAUAUCUUUGAUUGACUUUUAAUACUGCCCAAUAGAUGGCAGUCAUACACACACAGGGCUAUGCUUCAAAGCCAGGAAAUUAGCACAGCCAGAACCAGAAGCGGGUCCCUGGAUGAAACAGUGAAAGUUCAGCAGCUGAGCUGCAAGAUCACAAGACUGCUGUGGAGGGACAGAUCAGCAGGAGGGAGCCAGGCAGACAUGGAUAUAUUUGCACAGGCACUGGGAUUGGAAUCUGUGUUGCCUUUCACUCAGGUCCUUUAUCUCUGUACACCAAAAGCUUUAUGGUGAAUGCUUGCAACCUCUAUAGAGGCAAAAAUUGGUGAUUGAUUCUACAACCCCUGAAAUAGAGGUGAUAAAACCACACGGCAGGUAAGUCCUUCUUUCUUACCAAGUAAUUCCUUGUGUAAAUUUGCACGGGGACCUCAUCAUCGUUCAGUCAUUUAGUCGU
RNAcentral lists this long non-coding RNA (620 nucleotides) under Pogona vitticeps (central bearded dragon). RNAcentral's name for it is "lncRNA (ENSPVIG00000013012.1)". Lineage: Eukaryota; Metazoa; Chordata; Lepidosauria; Squamata; Agamidae. The record is from RNAcentral.